Molecule: ribosomal RNA, 208 nt
Filed under: Butyricimonas virosa
Lineage: Bacteria; Pseudomonadati; Bacteroidota; Bacteroidia; Bacteroidales; Odoribacteraceae
Description: partial 23S ribosomal RNA
Rfam family: Bacterial large subunit ribosomal RNA
Source: RNAcentral
CGAUUAAGGGCGCGCGGUGGAUGCCUAGGCUCUCGGAGGCGAAGAAGGACGCGAUAAGCCGCGAUAGUCCACGGCGAGGUGCAAGUAACCCUUGACCCGUGGGUUUCCGAAUGGGGCAACCCGGCCGUCUAGAUGACGGUCAUACCGUGAGGUAAGCGAACGCGGGGAACUGAAACAUCUCAUUACCCGCAGGAGAAGAAAACAAAAU